Stegostoma tigrinum is the source of this 10138-nucleotide long non-coding RNA. RefSeq lists it as uncharacterized. The record is from RefSeq and is a predicted model, not a curated record. NCBI's taxonomy places the organism in Eukaryota, Metazoa, Chordata, Chondrichthyes, Orectolobiformes, Stegostomatidae. The transcript is spliced from 4 exons.
AAGAGCAAGGUGGGAGUUUGCAAACUGCUGCGAUUCUGUCUCAGAGAAAGUAUUUAUUGACAGCAAUUAAUUCUCCACUUCCAUUAUCCCACCCCCUUCCCUUCUUGUCCCUUAUCCUCUGGCUACAGUGCACCAGGGUGGAGUUCUGAUUUUUUUUAAGAAGCCAUGAAUGAUCUGGGAAGGGUUAUUAUUUCCAGCCACUAAGCAUGUCCCUGCCCUAAAAGGGAGGAAGGAGGAGUUUCAAGGGGCUGUCCUUUAUAAAACAAAGUCAUUUUUUUCAGAAGAAAGUUGAAUGCAAUUGACCACCAGAUGGGAUGUUGUAGCAAUGAAGUAAUGAUGUUAAAAUAUGUUCCUGCUGAACACAAGUCAUCUAGAGGGGAAGACCGGCUUGAUUUUGAUCAGUGGGAUGAACAGCAGAGAUGUCGAAUUUGGGUGCCACAGUUUAAAUCAGCUAAUUUUCCAUGUUGAGACGAAAUAAAUUGCACGACAGACCAGUCAAUUAUUUUGCAUUAAUGAUAGACCUCCAGUCUAUAACAGGACUUGAACAUGGGGAAACUUUAUCCAUUUCGCUGCUGUAGUAACUGACGUUGUGUCUUGUACGAGAUGGUUACAUUUUGAAGAGCCCUGGAAACAUCAUGAAUUAUUUCUUAACAUGUAUGUCCAACUUUGCACUACAAUGCAAGUUAUGGCUAUUCCGGAUUUUGGAACUCUUGUGACCAGCAGCUGGAGAAGAGUUAAUUUCCUGGAUUCAAACUCGGGCCAAGGAAGCUUUGGCAUGUUCCAAUGAAAACAUAAUGCUGUGACAUCUACACCGCUCUCCCCCCAACUCACCCAGUAUAAUGAUUUCCUCUAAAUUAUCUAUUGUAUCUCAGUAAGCAAAACGUUUUUAAAUUGUCAAUCACUUUUUUUUGGUGUCUGCAUCAGCAAUCAAUAACUGAAAUUAUUUACUAGUCAAAAUAGAAUUCCAUCUGAAAAUUCAUUAGCAAGAGCGGGCUUUCAAUAUAAUGAUUGUAAAUAGAAAAGAGGAGGUCCAGAUUACUGACGUGGUGUCUUACGAUGUUUUAAGUAAGAUUUAGAAACAAAUGCUUUUUCAUACUUCCCUGUAAUGAGCUAUGACAUAUGGGGCUGAAUGUUCCCAGCAACAGUGGGAAGCUUGAAGGCAAGAUGCAGGUCAGGAAAGUGGAGGAAAACCCCUUUGGGCCGAUACCCAUCGCAUUUCUGCUUUCAGCAGCAGCCAGUUGAAAUCACUAAAACUCCAAUGAGGAGUGGUUUUGUUGUGUAACCAUUCUUUUGCCGGAACAGCAUGGCACUGUGGUGAUGUAGGAAGGGCACAAUGAAGGCAGUGUCCCUUCAGAGGCUGAGGGCAGGCCCUAAUUGGAGACUCCACACUCCAGUGACAUCCUCCAUGGGCAGGUGAAACUGCACCUAGGGCCCAAACUACUUACUAGCUGGAAGCAGCACACCUCCACUAUGAAGGUCCUGACAGCUUCAUUCUGCAGAAUGUUUUAUGUGCAUUCGUGUUUGCUAUGGGCGUCUCCAACAUGCCUCAAUGACAUCCACCUCUCUUGGUGGGGCUGUCAAUCCAGGUAUUCUAUUUUGGGUCUGUAGCAUUGAGACCCUGCAUACUAACCUGAAUAGCACAGUGAAAUGGCUCCAUACUGGGUACUGCUGGUAAAUGCAGACUUGGGACCACAAUUUGUUCCUGACAUUGUGGCCCCAAAGCCUCAGGAAAGCUCAGCCGAUAGCACAGAUUAGCAAUGAGUAAAAGAAGGUAUAAGAUAAAUCAGCAUAAGGCAAUCGAGAGCCAGAAUGAUAUCUUGAAGUCUUAGAUCUAGCGAAGGAAGGGAAGUAAAUAAUUCCCGAGUACUGAAAUCCUGUCAAAUAAUUAAAUGGAGCAAGAAUCAAUAAAUUUAACACCUGACACAGUUGAGAGGACAUGCUAGAGUUGGAGCUACAGAGAUGUAAGACAAGAAAAUUUAUACAAGGUCAAGGGAGAUUAUAAUGAGAAGAGAGUUUAGGGGAUAGAGGUCAUUGAAAGUAUGCCUUGUCUUAUACCCAAUCCAGAAGGGAAUGAGAGGAAAUUCCCAGCAUUUGUAAACAGAGUUGAUGGCUAAAGUUGUGGUGGGGAAAGAGAUGUAUUUGGUAUGAAAGAAGAAGCAAAGCAUCUUGUGGACAACAUCAGCCAUACAGGAGGGUCAUCGUUGCACUUGCCAUUAACCAAUAAAAUAAGAAGAGUAGAAUUGUCAAGUUUAAAAGAUCAAAAUCAUUUCCUAUAUGGACUGAAGUUACAGGAUCAAUAGAAUGUUGUAGUGGGUGAUUUGGCAGCAAAUGAGUUGGUGUGCGAUCUUAGAAUAAACAAUAAUGGCCAAUGAAAUGGGGUCAUUUAAGAGAAUGCUGGACAUGCAUAUGGUCACAGAAAUUUGAGGGUGCAUACAUGAGGUUCAAUGGUCGGCACAACAUCGUGGGCUGAAGGGCCUGUUCUGUGCUGUACUGUUCAAUGUUCUAUGUUCUAUGAAAUGGAACAGCAGCACAGUUGAUGGGAGAACAAACCAACUACAGGACAAGUAAAAUUGAGGUGAGGGAAAGAUCUAUUUUGUAUGAAAGAAGAAGCAAAGUAUUUUGCAGGCAACUUCAGCAACAAAUGGGGGUGACAAGAUAAAAUAAAAGCGGAAAUGUGUCUUAUAAGGGCAGGUCUAGACAUCUUUAAAUUGUGUCAUUUUUAAACUUGAGAAACAUUGUAAAAAAAAACUCUUAAAUACACUCGCAUUACAUUGGAUCUGGCUCCAAAGCGUCUGGAAAGUUUCUCGUCAACUAUUUACAAAGAUAUCAAGUACAGCAGGAGUAGUCAGGCCAAAUAUAUGGGCAAAAAGCAUGUGAGUGCAGGGAGACUGAACCAUGCUCACACAUCAUUCAGUGCCAUAAAACAUUUUAAAACUUUGUACCAGUCUGAGAACAGGACUUACCUGAAACAGCUUUCGUCUCCAGAAAACUAUUAUCUGAACCUUAACCUUGCUUCACUAUGCAAACUGUAGAUUGUAAUUCACUUGUAGUACAUCACUACUAACUUAAUGUUACAAUUCCUUCAAUGCUGGGUCCAACAAGACAAUUAUGUUUGCUAUUAAAGCACUGUUCCACUUCCGGGUCUGCUAAAAAUAAACCUUUAUUUGGUGAAAUUUAAAAAAAAAGCACUGGAAAAACUCAGAAAAGACAUCAAUCUGGAGUGGGCGUUCACAGUUGAAUAAAGGUAAGUCCUGACUGAAAACAAAGGAAUCAAAACAAGGGUGGCAUGGUGGCUCACUGGUUAGCACUGUUGCCUCAUGGCAUUAGGGACCAACGUCCAAUUCCAGUCUUGAUAUCUAUCUGUGUGGAAUUUGCAUGUUCUGCCUCUGUCCGUGUGGGUUUCUUCCCACAGUCAAAAUAUGUGCAGGUUGGGUGGAUCGGCUGUUCUAAAUUGUUUGUAGUGUCAAGAAACAUGCAGGCUAGCAGGGUUAAUUAUGGGAAAUGCAGAGUUACUGCAUUUGAGCAGAGAGAUGAGCAGAGAGAUGUGUCUGGGUCUGAUUCUCUUUGCAGGAUCGAUGCAGACUCAAUGGGCUGAAUGGCCUCUUUCUGUAGGGAAGCUAUGAUUUUAAGAAGCAGAUACUGGGGGUAAAAAUGGUGAGCAGAGUUCAUGAUGUGACAGUUUUGAUAUACCAACCCACCCUCGCUGGCAUGUGUAUUUGGUUUCCAAAAGGUGAAAUUGACACCUCAAUUCCAUCAAGAUUUUUGGAGGAAUAUCCACUGCAAUUGCCCUUAGCAACGUCAUGGUACAGUAGCCACAAACGCACACUGUCACAGCAUGUAACUGGCAUGGCUGUCACUCCUACACACAAACGGUCUCUCUCACACUUGUUGUUGUUUAACCACCAGCUCCGCAGUUUACCAGCCCAUAGCUACAUCCUGUGGAAACAUCUUCCUCAGGUCAUUGUUAGCUAGGACCCAAUGCCCACUGUAGAUCCACUGCUUGCCACUGUCAACUUGGGGACCAUCACAUACAAGCAACUGGAUAAACUUGAAACCUGAGCUUUUAUUUGCAAUAAAAGCUAAAAGGGAACACAACCGAAACCAAUAGAGACCGAAACAAAAAUAGAAAUUGCUGGAGAUUCUCAGCAAUAGAGGCUGAUGUUUACCCCAACAAUGCAAACCAGAUUUCAACAUCAUGACCAAAGAUUAUCGAACAUUCCAUGAUGGUCAGAUGAAUCCAACUCACAUCUACUGGACCGAGUCAGUCAGACCCUGUCUGGCUGGGAAUGCCUGACACAUGAGAGCUCUGUCAACGACAAGGAGGGCUGGAUUAUAUUGGAGGGCCAAACAAUAGAACUACAUCUUCAUCAGGCCCAUCACCUGCUCCACCAUAGCCCAGGUUGAGGAAUGCACUUCAGUUAUGGGUUUCCCAGCAGUGUCAUCAGCUGUGGUUAUAGUUGGUACCCCUGGUCUCUCAGUAGCCAGCUUUGUAAGCCCCUGGGCCCUCAAAUACACAGGUCCAUGAGAGUGCUCCAGAUGUAGGAAUCACACCAGCUGCCAGGCUGACAGGCUCACAUGUCCAGGAAGUGGCUGCAGUGAUCACAGAUCACCUGGACAUUAAUCAAAUGGAACCCCUUCCUGUUGGUGAAUUCCACAGUGUCGUGAUAUGGCACUCUCAGUGUCAUUGUGCAUAAAAUCAAUGGCAUCCUGUAAACUCAGAGAUGUCAGCCACAUUUCUGAAUCCUACUGCCUGGGCUGCAGCAUUGAUCUCAUCAUUCGGCAGCUAAGAGUGUCAAUGUGGUGUCACCCAGAUGGCAUCAGCCACUGUUCUGAUGUAUUUGUGGGUAUAUGACUGAGAGAUGCCAUUUGGCUCACCUGUCGCGCCCUGGAAGGAACCAGUUGCAUAAAGCUUUAUAGCUGUCAUUACCCUCACAGCCGCUCAGAGAGGAUGGACUGUAACAGCUGCAGCCCUCAGCACGCCUCCUACAGCUUCCCACUGCUGCAGCCAUCAGGUCCCUCUCCAGCAUCCAAGGUUCAGUUACAGUGUCCCACUACCUUGUCGAUUUUCGGAAAAAUCCAUCUGGUUCACUCAUGUCCUUUAGGGAAGGAAACGGCCAUCCUUACCUGGUCUGGACUACAUGUGACUCCAGAUCCAUAUUAAUGCAGUUGACAUUUAACUGCCCUCUGGGCCAUUGGGAAUGGUCAAUAAAUGCUGCCUAGCCAGCAACACUCUCAUCCCAUGAAUGAACAAAGGAAAAAUAAUACAUACAGAGUUUGUGUUAGCACUGUACCUCACUUCUUCCCAGCAAAGAGUUGUACCCAAUGAAACUCUAGGCUUCUUGAAUACUGCAAACAUUCCUAGGGGUCCUACCUCUGCAACCGCCUGUUGAAUUCUAAUCCUCCACACCAGCCUGAUGCUGUUGGGUUUGCCGUUGGCCCUGGUCUUCCUGCAACCAUAUUCAACUUUGUAGGUAGGCAGCCACAGUAAACCAUCAUUGCAACCAGUGGCAGGGCUUGGUGGAAAUGGUAACAGAAGGAGUGAACGAGGUUCUCUGAACUUCGAGCAGUUAUAGGUGGCCCACUACACAGAUGGGGGCUAAGCAUACCCCUCUGUACAGUGAGACAUGCAGCACUCUGAGAAUGUCCAUAUUCAGGCUCAGCUUGUACGGUAACUUGGUGAAGAUGCCAACCAAUGUCACCAAGAAGGAAGUGACUGCAGUGAUCUGACACCCUUGUCUCACCCACAUUCAGUACAGACUAUUGUCAAACUAUGUGACAGAUUAUCUGUCAACAUUGUGUGGUCUGCACAGGAACCUUGGAAGUUGCACACAGACUGGAUCCCUUUCAACCAGUAUUGGCCUUCUGUAACAUCCUUGUUGCUAACAUCCAAAUCAUUAAGGUGCCCAAGUUCAAUUUGCAAGAACCAAUGGCAUGUUGCAAAUUACCUUUGAGCAGCAUCUGACCCCCAGUACCUACACUUCACACGCAUACAAUGUUAGGUGAGUUUGGUAAAACAGGAAACUGAAUAUUCACGAGGAGAGUUGGGCUGUCAGCAAGGUAUUUAAUAAGCCAGAAUCCCCCUUAAUUGGCAAUUUGCUGCUGCCUAGUGUGAAACUCGACACAAAAAUUUGAAACCAUGAAAGAUUGAACAAGGUGAUCUGGACUUCUCUGAUUGUGUCACACAUCUUACCAUAUCCUAUGUCACUCAGAUUCUACCCCAUGUUUUUGUUUUCAGGCAAAACUGAACUUUAUUCUGCGCUUAACACCUACUCAGAAUCUUUUUUUUAUAUUUUCUCUUCAAUCAUUACUAUUUUUGUUCAGUGUACCUUUGAUUUCUAAUCUCCCUCACCCUCUAACCUGACCUCACCUUGCCUUUCAGUUGAUCUUCCUGGAUUUCUACAGAAUAAAAAAAAAUCACUUUCCAUAUGUUUUCAGUUCCAAGGGAGAGUUACACUGGACUCAAAGCAUUAACACCUUCUCUUUCUACAGAUGCUCCCAGACCCAUAGUUUCUUCAGCACUUUCUUUAUUUUAGAUCUCCUAUAUUCACUUUGUUUAACUUUUGCUUUGUUUGGUAAAUUCAGGGAAACAGGAUGGCUGGGUUUUACCACACAACUGUAUUUUUAAGUGAAAUGUUUAGUUAUUAACGCAUUUAAUGUUUACAAGUAUUUACAGCACAUGAACAGGGCAAUCCAUUUGUGCUUGACGCAAGCCUCUCAGUCCCUUCAUAUCCAGGAUCAAGGUUUGAACAGUGCCAUGAACAAGAGAAAUUCACCUCUCUGGUAGUUCUGUAGAACCUAAACUGAAACAUGUUUUAAUUGAUCCACUAGCUUGCUCAAAAUCUUAUGUCCAUAGUUCAUACAUAUUCAUAACUUUGAAUCCUCGUCCAAAAAUAUCAAGCCUUUUCCGAAGUGGAAGUCACUGAUGUUUUAAAGCCAGAAUUCUUUCUCAUAAAAUUUUCAAAAAGCUGUUUGCUUAUAUUUGGAAAAAGUGAAAUAGGCAAACAAAAUGUCAUGUUCACAGCUAAUAGUCUGACCUUCCCAAUGCAUGAUUUUGACUUGAAUCCCACUGAUGUGGUUUGUUUUCAUUGGGCACCAAAGUCUUUUGCAUCUCAAGAUUGGUCGGACAGAUGAUCUAUUGCGCUCUACUUGAUGAGAAAACAUUUUCCCAGUCAUUGUCAGUUAAAGCUUGUUAAGUUCUUGGGAAACUUAUUGGAAGUGGGAAAGUGGUCCAUAUCUGAGAGUUAAAAUUCUCCAUGUUGAUGACGAUGAAAUGUCCCCAAAAUAUAGCCUGAAGUUUUUAUGAAAGCAUAUUUAUAUUGUCCUUUGUUGUUUCGAGGUUUGAGUUUUCAAAAUAUUUUUUAGAGGCCAGGUGGGGAUCUAGUUGGGGGUGGGAUUUUUUGCUGCCUGCAUUGUUACCUAUCGCUCUCAAUUACGGUCGCAAUGAAGCUGAACUUGGUGAUGUAACUGGAGACAAGGAGCUGCUGAAUAUGUCUACCCAGGGCUUGUUGACCACUCCAGCCAAAUAGCACAGAGCAUAACUUACUUGUGUUUCAUGAAGGAGGAAUCAUUCAGAACUCCGAGUCUCUUUUAACAUGCAUUUGGCACAGUAGAUUUUGUUCCUGGGCUUUUAUAAGCAUCCUUUGAUUGAUAGGAUGACAGUCAUUGCUUAGGCUCACACUGGGCACUUAGAGGCUGCACAAGCUGUAAUUUAUUUAUAACUGUAAUAAGAGAUUUUUUGAUUUAAUAAUGGAUAGCAUACCUCUGAAAUAUACUUUGAAACUGGCUUCUAUAAUUUGUUUUUAUCUCUGUGAGUGCUUUGUUUUGUUUGGAGUGUCUGAACAUGAAAUAAAACAAAAUUCUAAAUAUUGAAAACACAGUAAUGAAGGAUGACUGACAGGCCCCAGCAAAUGUGCAAAUCUAAUAGUUAUUGCUCUUAAUAACAUUUGAGUGCUACGUGGCAGCUGAACUGAACAUCAUCCCUCCAUAAACUGCAUGCUCCGAACCACUUUCUAAUCUAGCGCUAUAGAUUAAUGAAUUUCUCCAAUCCAAUGUCAGAGAAAUAAAACAUUUCAAGGGUGGUUUGUACCUAAUGAGAACAAUUAUUAAAAGCUCUGAAGAGCUCAUUGCAGUCUCUUUACCAGGAAGGUUAUGACACAAUUUUUUUGAGUGAGAAGGUUUCCUUGCCUCAGUCAGAUUGGAACCAGAGUGUUGAUUCUAGAAGUCCUGCCCCCCAAGCUCACAGUUCUCACUGAGGAGAAGAGAGUAUUAGGCUGGGAGGUAUUUCAUACAUCCACAGUUGUUGGUGGCCACAGUACUUUUAAAUGUGCAACUGCCUUGACUCAGAGGUGAGUUUCAUCACCUAAAUUUCUGAAAAAUAAUCUGUGGGCUUUAGACAUUUGAGGAAAGUUCUAAAUCUACCAGACACCUUGAGGAGGUCAGGUGAUCCUUUGGGGAGCUCAGGUAUAUGUUUGGAGAGGUCUGGGUAACCUCUGGAGUGGUUAAAGUACCUCUUCAGGAUUAUUAACAACAGACAAUGAUGUGUAUAAAAGCUGUGUGGAACAAUCAAUUUGUUUAAAUCACCUUCCCUUUAAAUUUUGAUCAAAAAAUGCCUGCUGUGCGAAAAAGCAAAGUGGCUUGCAAUUUCAUUAGCUAUUUGUUGACACAGACUUGUGGAUCAUCAUUUUAGCUUUACUGCUUCUAUACUGCUUUCACAAUGCAUCUUAUCACAGUGGGGGGCCUGUAGAUACACAUGUUGAUUGUAGGCUCCAAGUAAAUAUAAAGGAAUUAAACGCCUUUGCUAUGAGGCUAUGAACAUACAUGUUUGCUUUUACAAGGGAUAAGUACUUUCACGGAAUAGUUCUUAACAGGUACUUUGACUUUAAAUCAAUAUGUGUCCUGUGAUCUGUCUAUUGUAAACAUUUGUGAGUUGACAUGAGCAUGUGGGUGAAACAUGAUUUGACAUGAUUUGACACUAAGUUAGCAAAGUUAUUGGGCUAUGAAGAUGAGUGGGGGUCAUGGGUUGGUUUUAACUUGGCACAGAUUCUGAGAAUCCAUAUAGGAGUAUGGGAGUGAGUACAGAGGCAUGAGUUGGUAUGACGCAGCAAGGAAAGUGUGAGGAAUGAGGGCUAGAGGAAGAUAUUGUUUCUAUUAUAAUGAGGAUGGAAGCCCAGAGAACUGAGGUGGGUUUUCUAAACUGCCUACCUCAGUACUUGCUGUGGCUGCCUGUGCACUGUUUUUAAGGGUGGCAAGACUGAUUCCAGUUGGUGCCUGUACCCAGGAUGAAAAUCCGAUCAUCUGAGAAAGUUUCUCACCAGUCAGAUUUAGGGAACUGGAAAAUUUUUGACACUUUGCACCUGACUCUGGAUCGAAAAUUGAGCCAUAUGUCUCAGUGUUUUCAUCUGAUGUAUUAACAAAAAUAUUAACUUAAGAGAUUUGUUUUUGAACUGAAGUAAUUUUCUGUAAUUAUGUGCAAAACAUCUUUAUAUUCCCAUAACCAUGUCAACAGUAAGAAAGGAUCCUUUUCUCACUAUUCACAUUGUGUAAGUGAAUGCAAGAACUUUACCAAAAAAAUAAAUAAACGCACGAGACUAUAAUCUACAUAUAAAGAAGAGUAUGCAUAAGACUUUGCUACUUACAGUCUAGCAAACCAUGAUUGGUGAAAUUGCUGACUGAUGCUAAAUACUCAAUUAUGUUACAAAACUCGGUCAGUCACAUUUUUGUCCCACUGAAAUUUAAUCUAAUUUCACCUUAUCCAGGAACUCCUUCGCAAAUAGUACUCAGCACAUGACAUGGACUGCAGCAGUUUGAGAAGGCUUCACCACCAUUUCUCAAGGGCAACUAAAGAUAGGCAAUAAAUGCCCACUUUACCAACAGCACUCUCAUCCCAACUAGUAGAAAUAUAGUCCCCACAAGAGGAAUAACCUCGGAAUUAGCUUGUGCAAAAUUAUUAUUUAAAUAUUAACCUCUAUUUAAAUAGCAGACAGAAAUUAGAUGGAAAGCUGCAUCAAUCAUAGGUUAAUGUAUUUUUCAAUCUGGCACAGAGGUGAACUAAGGUACAUAGAUUACAAAUAUUAGUACAGGCACAAAAAGCAGAUAACUAUUGUAAGGAAUUUGUCCUUCAGUAGGAGCAUACUGUGAA